This 73-nucleotide transfer RNA is filed under the name Candidatus Blochmanniella vafra str. BVAF. Its description in RNAcentral is "tRNA-Gly (GCC) (tRNA-Gly-GCC-1-1)". It matches the Rfam family "tRNA". From Rfam's summary of the family: Transfer RNA (tRNA) molecules are approximately 80 nucleotides in length. The record is from RNAcentral. Lineage: Bacteria; Pseudomonadati; Pseudomonadota; Gammaproteobacteria; Enterobacterales; Enterobacteriaceae.
GCGGGAAUAGCUCAAUAGGUAGAGCACAACCUUGCCAAGGUUGAGGUUGCGAGUUCAAAUCUCGUUUUCCGCU